RNAcentral lists this ribosomal RNA (400 nucleotides) under Endoconidioma populi. RNAcentral's name for it is "eukaryotic LSU rRNA". The stretch from base 61 to 214 matches the Rfam family "5.8S ribosomal RNA". The record is from RNAcentral. Lineage: Eukaryota; Fungi; Ascomycota; Dothideomycetes; Dothideales; Dothideaceae.
AGUCCAACCAAACUCUUGUAUUAAACCAGUCGUCUGAGUAUAAAAUUUUAAUUAAAUUAAAACUUUCAACAACGGAUCUCUUGGUUCUCGCAUCGAUGAAGAACGCAGCGAAAUGCGAUAAGUAAUGUGAAUUGCAGAAUUCAGUGAAUCAUCGAAUCUUUGAACGCACAUUGCGCCCCUUGGUAUUCCGAGGGGCAUGCCUGUUCGAGCGUCAUUACACCACUCAAGCACUGCUUGGUAUUGGGCAUCGUCCGUCGAAAGGCGGGCGUGCCUCGAAGACCUCGGCGGGGUUUCUCCAACUUCGGGCGUAGUAGAGUUAAAUCAAAACGUCUUAUAAGCUUGGUGAGAUCUCAUUGCCGUUAAACCUUUUAUUUUUCAGGUUGACCUCGGAUCAGGUAGG